CUCAUCAAUCUUACCAAUUAAAAAAAACACGCCUCUCUAAUCCAACUACGAAUAAUCAUACUCUUAUACUCUCCUAAACCCAAUUCUAUUCUGUUAUCUGUUCCAUUCAAAUCAAAUCCUCUCUCCCUCUAUAUAAAAGGGAACAAUACUCUAUCACUCCUCAAUGGUUUCAAUCAAUUUGGCCCUAAUUCAACAAUGAAUAUCACUUCAAUCUUCGUUUUCUCUCUCUUCAUACUUCUAGUUCUUCCCACCACAGUUCUCGGAGACUGUACUUGCGAUGCCGGAACGACCAACAGUGGAAGCAACAAGAGUAAAGCACUCACAUACAAAGUGGCGGCGAUAGCUUCUAUUCUCGUCGCCGGAGCAAUCGGAGUCUGUCUUCCGUUGCUCGGCAGGGCCGUACCGGCGCUCCGGCCCGAAAAGGAUGUGUUCUUCAUCAUCAAAGCGUUCGCCGCCGGCGUAAUUCUGGCCACUGGCUUCAUCCACGUGCUUCCCGACGCCUUCGACCACCUGACCAACCCGUGUCUCACCGGAAAAGCUUGGCAGUUUCCGUUCACCGGAUUCGUGGCGAUGAUGGCGGCGAUUGUAACUCUGAUGAUUGAUACGUUUGCGACGUCGUAUUUUAAGGGGAAGGCCGAUGAUGAUGGUAAUGCCAAGGCCGGAAGUACUACUGUCAACGUUGAGGACGGAGGUGGAGAUCACGGCGGCGCUCUUCAUGUUCACACUCACGCCACUCACGGCCAUGCUCAUGGAUCCGCCGCCGCGCUUUCGUUACAUGACUUGGGCGCCGCUGAUCUUAUUCGACACCGUGUCAUAUCUCAGGUUUUGGAAUUGGGAAUUGUGGUCCACUCGGUGAUUAUUGGAAUCUCAUUGGGUGCUUCGGAAGAGGUCAAAACAAUAAGGCCUCUUGUGGCUGCUCUCACCUUUCAUCAAUUCUUCGAGGGCAUGGGUCUUGGUGGAUGUAUCACUCAGGCAAAAUUCAAGUGUAGGGCAGUGGUAAUCAUGGCAAUGUUUUUCUCACUGACAACACCAGUUGGGAUAGCAAUAGGCAUCGGUAUAUCGAGUAGUUAUAACGAGAAUAGCCCAAGGGCCUUAGCGGUAGAGGGCAUUUUGAACGCAGCCUCAGCUGGAAUACUGAUCUACAUGGCUUUAGUCGAUCUUCUCUCAGCCGAUUUCAUGAACCCCAAGAUGCAAGCAAACCCAAAGCUUCAGCUCGGUGCCAACGCUUCGCUUCUUCUCGGCGCCGGUUGUAUGUCCCUUUUGGCUAAGUGGGCCUAAAUUAAUUAACUACAAUAUUUUAUUCACACAAUUUCUUAUUCUUAAAAUUCCCUCAAUGAGGUGGCAAGGUAAAAUAUAUGUAAUGAGAAUUUUGAGAGAAUAUUAAAAUGUAUGUCAACUUUUUAAAUUUUGAUUAUCACAUCAUUCGGGAGAAUUUAGAGAAGGAGAAAUUAUGUGGAUGAAUUUAUAUUUAAUUAAUUACUUUUGUUUCCACA
This is a non-coding RNA of Camellia sinensis, 1493 nucleotides long. Lineage: Eukaryota; Viridiplantae; Streptophyta; Magnoliopsida; Ericales; Theaceae. The record is from RefSeq and is a predicted model, not a curated record.